CACGUAGGGUGCGAGCGUUGUCCGGAAUUAUUGGGCGUAAAGAGCUCGUAGGCGGUGUGUCGCGUCGGCCGUGAAAACCUGCAGCUUAACUGUGGGCUUGCGGUCGAUACGGGCAUCACUGGAGUUCGGCAGGGGAGACUGGAAUUCCUGGUGUAGCGGUGAAAUGCGUAGAUAUCUGGAGGAACACCGGUGGCGAAGGCGGCAUCCUGGACCGAGAUUGACGCUGAGGCGCGAAAGCUAGGGGAGCAAACGGG
RNAcentral lists this ribosomal RNA (254 nucleotides) under uncultured bacterium. RNAcentral's name for it is "partial 16S ribosomal RNA". It matches the Rfam family "Bacterial small subunit ribosomal RNA", at positions 524 to 776 of the family's 1533-position model. The record is from RNAcentral.